CACCUCUCAGGGGCAAACCUGGAGAGUUUCCAGUACUCUAUCAGUCUCGACUAUGGGAGGGAGAGUCAAGCAGAGGCAUAUCCAUUCCAUUCCUAGCUUGGGCACCGGCCAGCGAGUGGAAGGCAAUCUGUCACAAGU
RNAcentral lists this small nucleolar RNA (138 nucleotides) under Ornithorhynchus anatinus (platypus). The record is from RNAcentral. Lineage: Eukaryota; Metazoa; Chordata; Mammalia; Monotremata; Ornithorhynchidae.